GACAGAGGAUGCAAGCGUUAUCCGGAAUGAUUGGGCGUAAAGCGUCUGUAGGUGGCUUUUUAAGUUCGCCGUCAAAUCCCAGGGCUCAACCCUGGACAGGUGGUGGAAACUACCAAGCUAGAGUACGGUAGGGGCAGAGGGAAUUUCCGGUGGAGCGAUGAAAUGCGUAGAGAUCGGAAGGAACACCCAAGGCGAAAGCACUCUGCUGGGCCGACACUGACACUGAGAGGCGAAAGCUAGGGGAGCAAAUGGG
This 253-nucleotide ribosomal RNA is filed under the name uncultured bacterium. RNAcentral describes it as "partial 16S ribosomal RNA". It matches the Rfam family "Bacterial small subunit ribosomal RNA", at positions 524 to 776 of the family's 1533-position model. The record is from RNAcentral.